CAAAGUUGUGAAGCAUAAAAUGGUUAGAAUCGGGAAGAACUACUACUGCGGGCAAGCACAGUAAUGCAGAGCGAAAACGCCCAGACUACCAGCUAAGGCACAGAAAUAAAAGAUACGUGGCAAAGUAGGUAAGAGUGCAGCGAGAGACAGGGUGUUUGCGUCGAAGCAGCCGACCUCUAAAGAGUGCGUAAGAGCUCACUCAUCAAGCGCUUUUGCGGCGAAAAUGACCGGAACUAAGUUUUUUGCCGAAGCUGUGGCUACAUCACACAGAUGAUGUAGGGUAGAGGAGCGUUCCGCCCAGGGGGAAGCCAAGCGCGUAAGCCGCGGUGGACAGGGCGGAAGUGAGAAUGUCAGCUUGAGUAACGCAAACAUUGGUGAGAAUCCAGUGCCCCGAAAACUCAAGGGUUCCUGCGCAAGGCUCGUCCGCGCAGGGUCAGUCAGGACCUAAGGUGAGGCCGAAAGGCGUAAUUGAUGGCAAGAAGGUUUAUAUUCCUUCACUAGUCUAGGCUUAGUCCUGAGGGACGAACAAAUAACACUCGGCACAAUGGCCUUCCAUGGUAGGAAGGGUCAAACCAUUGUUGUUUGAUGGUAUUUUUUCCAAGAAAAGCUCAUUCGACUUUGAGUCUAGACUACCUGUACCGUAAACCGACACAGGUGAGUGGGUUGAAUAAACUAAGGGGAGCGAGAUAACUCUCUCUAAGGAACUCGGCAAAUUGGCUCUGUACCUUCGGAAGAAAGAGUGCCCCUCAGGGGGCCGCAGUGAAGAGAUCCAGGCGACUGUUUACCAAAAACACAGGUCUCCGCAAAGUCGUAAGACGACGUAUGGGGGCUGACACCUGCCCAGUGCCAGAAGGUUAAAGAAGUUGGUCAAUCUAUGAUGAAGCUAACGACUGAAGCCCUGGUGAACGGCGGCAGUAACUAUAACUGUCCUAAGGUAGCGAAAUUCCUUGUCGGGUAAGUUCCGACCCGCACGAAAGGUGUAACGAUCUGGAUACUGUCUCAGAGAGAGACUCGGUGAAAUAAAACUAUCUGUGAAGAUGCGGAUUACCUGCACACGGACAGAAAGACCCUAUGAAGCUUUACUGUAACCUGGAAUUGCUCUCAAGCUUAUCUUGCGCAGCUUAGGUGGGAGGCUAUGAACCUUUUCUUCUGGGAAGAGGGGAGCCAUCAGUGAGAUACCACUCUUGGUAAGCUAGAGCGCUCAGUCUUCACCGUCAUCCGGUAAGACGACAGUUUCAGGCGGGCAGUUUGACUGGGGCAGUCACCUCCCAAAAGGUAAUGGAGGUGUGCAAAGGUUCCCUCAGGCUGGACGGAAAUCAGCCAUAGAGUGUAAAAGCAAAAGGGAGCUUGACUGCGAGACUGACAUGUCAAGCAGAGACGAAAGUCGGCUUUAGUGAUCCGACGGUGCUGUGUGGAAAGGCCGUCGCUCAACGGAUAAAAGUUACUCUAGGGAUAACAGGCUAAUCUCCCCCAAGAGUUCACAUCGACGGGGAGGUUUGGCACCUCGAUGUCGGCUCGUCGCAUCCUGGAGCGGAAGUACGUUCCAAGGGUUGGGCUGUUCGCCCAUAGAAAGCGGCACGCGAGCUGGGUUCAGAACGUCGUGAGACAGUUUGGUCCAUAUCCUGUGUAGGCGUUUAGAGCAUUGAAAGGAUCUCCCCUUUGUACGAGAGGACCAGGUGGGGACAGACCGCUAGUGUACCAGUUAUCCCACCAGGGGUAAACGCUGGGUAGCUAUGUCUGGAGUAAAUAACUGCUGAAAGCAUAUAAGUAGGAAGUUCACCUUAAGAUGAGUGCUCUUUUGU
Molecule: ribosomal RNA, 1802 nt
Filed under: marine metagenome
Description: bacterial LSU rRNA
Rfam family: Bacterial large subunit ribosomal RNA
Source: RNAcentral